ACAACACCUGAUUUACCGUUACGUCAUUAUAAAAAAUAUAUAUGUAUAUGUGUGUGUAUAAAAUAUAUACGUAAAUAUGUAUACGUAAUAUACAAGUAAACACGGCCGGUAUUGUUGUUAGAAUUUUGGCAAAAAUUCUCUAGUAAAUUUUAAUGGAAAAUGUUUACAUAAAAAUAAUAUUAACUUUUAUCGCUUCGACCCGUCCAUGUCAAAGACCAUUUAUGAUUGUGUGUGAUUGUGUAAUGUAUGUACUGCUACGCAUGGUUGGGAUGAUAAGAAGAUAUUGGACGUUAGACUUAUUUUUCUAUACAAUGGAAUACAUGUAGAAGAAUGUGUUUGUGUGAGUGUGUGUGUGUGUUGUUUUUUUACAUUUUUAAAGACGAAUCUAUAUUAGAAAUGUGCUUUGAUAUCAUGGCACCAUCUAGCGAUGUGUGCUCGUAUUAUUUUAGUGUAUUAAGCUCUGUUCGAAAACAAUACAGUCUUUUGUUAUUGACAAAGAGUUAGCUUGUCAUAUUUCGAAAUGUCACAGAGCGUGUUUGAUACGUCUCUUUUUUUAUACUGUUGUAAGUUUUGAAAUAAAACCGGCGUUGGUUGGUUUUUAAUUGAAAAAUACACUUCUAAAGGUUUCGAUAUCAUAUUCUUUGGAGGAGUGCUUGGAAUCCGAGCAUGCGCUCUUCGAGUGGUUAGAAUCAUUUCGGAUGUGGUCGUCAGCGUACUUUCCCUUCGCCUGGAAGGAGAAAGUCGAGUUCGGUGACGUCAUCCAUCGUCAUAGCAACGGUAUGUUCGCUGUUAAUUUGUCUCCCACACGUGAAAGAUUCAAAGUUCUUCCGUCGACUUCAUCUUUUUUUUUUUCUUGUUGUAUCUGAAGGUUGGCAGAAUGGAAUACGUUCGAACUGAAUUAUUAUAAAAUUUUAGUUAUAUUAUUACGUUAUAGAAAAAUAUAUAUAUUCCUCCACAAGUAAAGAUACCAUUUUCGCCGCUAAAGAACUCCAACAGAGCAUCUGACGUCUUCGGAUAAAAGCUCUGAACAAUGAUUGACUGUAGCAUUCUACUUCACAAAAAAAGAAAUUUCGUAACGAAACAAACAUGCUUAGAAAUGGACGUCUGGACCACUUCCCUAUAAGACUAUCAUCAUAUACUUGAAGAACAUAAAUCUGACGUUCGGCAAUAACAUCAAAUCUAUUGCGAUUGAGGUAGGCCCUUUUAUAAAAGAUGACAUCAAUUUUUCUGUUUAGAAGAUGCGCUCUCUCUCUAUCUCUCUCUCUCUUUACUGGUUCGAGUAGAAAAUGUCUAACUUUAUAUCAUUUUUGUCGUUUUCCUAUCUUCUUAAACAUCAUCGAAUAUACAGCAUAACGUUUCCGCAUAGAGCUCAAGUUUUAUAUUUACAAAACAGGAUGCUUAUCAAUAUCAAAAACGGAUUGCCACACCUUCUGGCUUAGCUCAAAGUCAUCCUUUCUUUCGCUCUCUCUCUCUCUUCAUUAUCUGCUAACAUUAAACAGAGUCGAAAGUAACGUCGUCGUGUCAAUACUGCGAGUGUUUAUCGAUAAUAUGGUAACCGAAGGAUUGAAUAUAUUUAUUUUUAUAAAAUUUAAAGAUUUGCAACAGUUUAAUGGACAGUAUGUUGGACGAGACUCGUAAGUACGUUUAUCCGAUAGAAAUUAGGACAGAAAACUCUUUUCAAUGGCGUUUAAAGAGAAAUCAAUCCGUUCCAAACAAUAAACUUAAGGAACGGAACGAUAAAGACGAACGAUUUGUAUACUUAACACACACUUACAUCACCGAGUUGUUUUUAAAAAUUGAUUAUUGUCGUUUCUGCACGAUGAUUACGUUUUUUUAAAGAAAAAAAAAAGACGUCAGACGCUUUAAUAGAUUAAAUGGCAUAAAUAACGACGUUACGCUGCG
Molecule: long non-coding RNA, 1902 nt
Filed under: Androctonus crassicauda
Lineage: Eukaryota; Metazoa; Arthropoda; Arachnida; Scorpiones; Buthidae
Source: RNAcentral